This 1268-nucleotide unclassified non-coding RNA is filed under the name Hevea brasiliensis (rubber tree). The record is from RNAcentral. Lineage: Eukaryota; Viridiplantae; Streptophyta; Magnoliopsida; Malpighiales; Euphorbiaceae.
UCUCCCUCUCUCUAUCUCUCUCUCCACCAUGAAAAAGAUGAGAACCAAAUUUGUCAUGAUCAGAUCUUCCAUCCCAGGGUGAGUCGGUAGCCUUGGCGACUUCUUAUUUUGAUGCUGGCUAGGUUAUAUUACAUUCCUGAAAGUAGUUGUCUGAGCCAAUGUAAUCUUUUUCAGUCCAAUAUGGAGGACUGAAAUCCCAUGUUGUUGAAUCUUACAAUAUGUAAGAAUUAGCCUCUGACAAAAAAAAAAGGGGUUCAGGAAGGUAGAGAAAGGGGUUCCAAUUGCUCCGGCAUUUCUGCUGAACCAAUUUUUAUCAAUAAUGAUUUGUCGUGAUUGUUAAUUACUGCCGUACCUGUGGCAAACGCAGCAGAUAAACUAUGUCUAUUAACUGGACAGAAAACAACAGUACUAGAGAAAUUUCGAACGCUUUUUUGACACAUUGAUGCAAGUUAUAAAAAUGUCUGAGGUGACAAACAAAUUAAAAAGCGAGGUAAUUCUGGUAGCAUCUGAUUUGGCUAAAAUUUGACAGGGACAUUUACAAUUAUAUUUCACCAAAAAGGUUGGUCCCCGUUCCACCCCCCAAUCCAAACGCAUACGUUAAAAGACUGGCAUAGUUAGUGGAUGACUCCAUGGGAGAGUGACCUAGUCGUUGUUUUAUGAUAAGCUUUAGAAAAGUACCUAGAAUAGUCGUUGUUUGUUUCAUUGGAGUCAGUCAUUGAAUUCCAGGGAUUGGGCUGGGCCUCGUCUCACACCAAAAGCAUCUCAAAGUAUAACUACUGAUGCACUCAAAUUCCAAUUGAUCGACCAUGGCUGGUUCUCCUGUGUCCCAUGGGAAAAGAAGAAAAAAGAUUGAGACCAGAGACAGCUAGCUGGUCACAGCUUUAAGCUAAAGAAGGUAUGAGCCAAUGAACUUUAAGAUAAAAUUAGAAAAAGAAAAAAUUGUUCCCAAACAGCAAACACACGUAAAGAAAGAUUGAUAAUAAUUUUUUUUUAAAGAAAAGAAAAGAAAAGGUGGCAGUAGCAAAGAUUAAAGAGGGUAUUGGGGAGGAGGCAAGUCUCAUCAAAAGAUUAAGAUGGCAACCCUAAAAAGAAGUUCCCAUUAUAAUUUUUCUUUCUGUUUUUUAUUUCCCUCACACUGUCGUGGGCCAAAAGUUCCCACUUCUCUAUCUCAUAUCCAUGGAAUGCAAGAGUUUCUUUGGUCGCUUAUGUGGAGUUGGCGGUGGGGACCGCAUGUAUUCAUCUAUCGCCAUUCACAUUUAUCCUCGUUG